RNAcentral lists this ribosomal RNA (55 nucleotides) under Simulium indicum. RNAcentral describes it as "partial 5.8S ribosomal RNA". The record is from RNAcentral. Lineage: Eukaryota; Metazoa; Arthropoda; Insecta; Diptera; Simuliidae.
GAGCUUUUUUUCUAUUUAGUUAGGAUGGCUUGAGGUCUCAUAUGGUUGAGUGCUA